GCAAACGUUCAUAUCACGUUGAAUACACCAGUUCUCGUCCGAUCACUGAAGUUAAGCAACGUUGAGCGUGGAUAGUACUUGGAUGGGUGACCGCUUGGGAACACCACGUAACGUUGGCU
This 119-nucleotide ribosomal RNA is filed under the name Diaphorina citri (Asian citrus psyllid). The record is from RNAcentral. Lineage: Eukaryota; Metazoa; Arthropoda; Insecta; Hemiptera; Psyllidae.